This 377-nucleotide long non-coding RNA is filed under the name Dasypus novemcinctus (nine-banded armadillo). Its description in RNAcentral is "lncRNA (ENSDNOG00000052181.1)". Lineage: Eukaryota; Metazoa; Chordata; Mammalia; Cingulata; Dasypodidae. The record is from RNAcentral.
GCUCGCCCCCAGGGUCAGAGGAUAAAGGUCCACUGGGAGUCAGCAGUGAGGAAGCCGCCCUGGGGAAAUUAAAAGGGUCAACUUACUUAAUCCAGUGUGCUCCCAGGAAGUAUGUACAGCUGUGUUUUGCUGGAAAGAUGAUGUCUACCUAUGGAUUCAUUACAAUUAAAUUCGUUAUGACUAUGCAAUUGCAAAGUGUGAUGUCAAGCAGGGAAUGAACCAAUUUCAAGCUUCUUAACUCAAAGCGAGGGAUUCUCAGACUGUGAUUUUACAAGAGGAACAGGUGACUCAAGCUACAAAUUUACCUUUUUAAAAAUUGCUUUCUUUAAAAAUUAAAGAUACAUAGAUCACACAAAAUGUUACAUUAAAAAAUAUAA